This 475-nucleotide ribosomal RNA is filed under the name uncultured bacterium. RNAcentral describes it as "bacterial SSU rRNA". It matches the Rfam family "Bacterial small subunit ribosomal RNA", at positions 28 to 507 of the family's 1533-position model. The record is from RNAcentral.
GAUGAACGCUAGCUACAGGCUUAACACAUGCAAGUCGAGGGGAAACGACAUCGAAAGCUUGCUUUUGAUGGGCGUCGACCGGCGCACGGGUGAGUAACGCGUAUCCAACCUGCCCACCACUUGGGGAUAACCUUGCGAAAGUAAGACUAAUACCCAAUGAUAUCCCACGAAGGCAUCCGAAUGGGAUUAAAGAUUUAUCGGUGAUGGAUGGGGAUGCGUCUGAUUAGCUUGUUGGCGGGGUAACGGCCCACCAAGGCUACGAUCAGUAGGGGUUCUGAGAGGAAGGUCCCCCCACAUUGGAACUGAGACACGGUCCAAACUCCUACGGGAGGCAGCAGUGGGGAAUAUUGGGCAAUGGGGCGCAAGCCUGACCCAGCAACGCCGCGUGAAGGAAGAAGGCUUUCGGGUUGUAAACUUCUUUUAAGAGGAAGAGCAGAAGACGGUACCUCUAGAAUAAGCCACGGCUAACUACGUG